This 253-nucleotide ribosomal RNA is filed under the name uncultured bacterium. Its description in RNAcentral is "partial 16S ribosomal RNA". It matches the Rfam family "Bacterial small subunit ribosomal RNA", at positions 524 to 776 of the family's 1533-position model. The record is from RNAcentral.
UACAGAGGGUGCAAGCGUUGUUCGGAAUUAUUGGGCGUAAAGGGCGCGUAGGCGGUGCGGUAAGUCUGUAGUGAAAUCUCUGGGCUCAACUCAGAGUCUGCUGCAGAAACUGCCGUGCUUGAGUGUGGGAGAGGUGAGUGGAAUUCCCGGUGUAGCGGUGAAAUGCGCAGAUAUCAGGAAGAACACCCGUGGCGAAAGCGGCUCUCUGGAACGGUACUGACGCUGAGACGCGAAAGCGUGGGGAGCGAACAGG